Molecule: transfer RNA, 77 nt
Filed under: Aliiruegeria lutimaris
Lineage: Bacteria; Pseudomonadati; Pseudomonadota; Alphaproteobacteria; Rhodobacterales; Roseobacteraceae
Description: Pseudoruegeria lutimaris tRNA_Pseudo_CAC
Rfam family: tRNA (bases 11-74)
About the family: Transfer RNA (tRNA) molecules are approximately 80 nucleotides in length. Their secondary structure includes four short double-helical elements and three loops (D, anti-codon, and T loops).
Source: RNAcentral
GGUUUAAGUGCGGUGUUGGGUAGAGCGCUUCGUUCACAUCGAAGAUGUCGGGGGUUCAAAUCCCUCAUCACCCACCA